Molecule: ribosomal RNA, 254 nt
Filed under: uncultured bacterium
Lineage: Bacteria
Description: partial 16S ribosomal RNA
Rfam family: Bacterial small subunit ribosomal RNA
Source: RNAcentral
UACAGAGGGGGCAAGCGUUGUUCGGAAUUACUGGGCGUAAAGGGCGCGUAGGCGGCCUUCUAAGUCGAACGUGAAAUCCCCGGGCUCAACCCGGGAACUGCGUCCGAUACUGGAAGGCUUGAAUCCGGGAGAGGGAUGCGGAAUUCCAGGUGUAGCGGUGAAAUGCGUAGAUAUCUGGAGGAACACCGGCGGCGAAGGCGGCAUCCUGGACCGGCAUUGACGCUGAGGCGCGAAAGCCAGGGGAGCAAAGCGGG